AGCUUCUGAAACGUUCUCUGGGGCGUAAAAUUUAUUUAAACACAAGCUUUCGACUGGCAGUCUAGUGUUCGACACUUUACUUGUCGAAGACUGCAACUGGCAAUCGAAAGCUCGUGUUUAAAUAAAUUUUACGAUCAGAGAACGUUUCAGAAACU
This is a non-coding RNA of Paramuricea clavata, 155 nucleotides long. Lineage: Eukaryota; Metazoa; Cnidaria; Anthozoa; Malacalcyonacea; Plexauridae. The record is from the annotation of a GenBank genome assembly.